Molecule: long non-coding RNA, 318 nt
Filed under: Theobroma cacao (cacao)
Lineage: Eukaryota; Viridiplantae; Streptophyta; Magnoliopsida; Malvales; Malvaceae
Description: long non-coding RNA (TCAC_LNC004868)
Source: RNAcentral
GAUUAUAAAAUCUCACCCCUUCUUCCUAUACAUUUUUCAGGCUCAGGACAGUUUGUAGAUAGUCGAGUAGGACGAGAACUAAGGUCGGAACUGCAUUAUAGAAAGUAAGAGUUCACAGUCUUACAUCCUCUUGGUCAAUUGGGGCCCACGUGUCAUUGCAGAUCAAAACUUAUAUUUUGGUUAUCUGUAUUUCUAUUCAUACAAUUUUUACUUUACUUUCAUGUGCGAAAAAUUAUUUACGAAUAUUUUUAUAAAAAUUUAUUUUAUGAGAAAAUAGAAUACUUUAUUUAUUAUUUUUGAAUAGUACUAGUUGUCAAC